This is an RNA transcript of Oreochromis niloticus (Nile tilapia), 6003 nucleotides long. It is a transcript of the gene named ELKS/RAB6-interacting/CAST family member 2-like, with no coding region annotated. Lineage: Eukaryota; Metazoa; Chordata; Actinopteri; Cichliformes; Cichlidae. The record is from RefSeq and is a predicted model, not a curated record. The transcript has 21 exons.
AGGAAAUGAAACCAGCACUUGUUGCAGGUUACAGAUCACUAAGGACCUAGUAUCACCUACUUAAAUGAUCUAUUUUUUUCUCUGUUAGUUUAAUGAGAAAACAAAAUCAUGUCAUGUUGGGCUCAUUUUUUCUCAUCGUCUCGGUGCUCUAGCUUGGCGGCAUCUCUUUUCUGAGACCGAAACCCCGGACCAAAUAUAGUUAUAAUUACUCACUGUAAUUUCUGGUUUAUGGUCUGUUGAAUAGAAAAUAGGAUCGUGCCGAACAGCUGCACUUCCACGAUACACUUCAAAGAGCACCUAACUGCACUGUCACAAGUCACCACACAGCAUUUGUAUUCCAGAAUAGCCCGGUUUUACCCAAUCACAUGGUGUGAUCUUAAAUUAUGUCUCUACAUCUACUUCAACCAAACUCACUUCUGUCUGUGUAGGCUCUUUUGUUUGAAAAACAAUAUUAAGUUCCAUCUGCUGUGUAGUAAAGGGAAUUUCAGAGCUUUGGCUUUGCGUAAUACCUUCCAAGUACCAUUCCCAAUUCAUGAUUCAUAGGUAUAUGAAAAACAGGAAACCACCCAAUCAUGGCUCUUCGCGCUGCCCCACCACGGCGCUUCGUCGCGCACGCGCCAGCUGGGAGAGCGCGCCCACGCGGACCCGAUGGCAGUACAGGUCAUGAGCUGAGCUGCUGAGAUCAUGGAGCCUGCGCCGAGGUCGGACAGGGUACUGAUGGGACUUUACAGUGAUGGAGAGGUGCCUGUACGAAUCCAUGAUGUCCUGCACCGUAGCUGAAAUUACAAGACCUCUGACCUGUGUGUCCGGGAGACCUGUUGCCAACAGUGACUGCUGCUUUCCUCAAAUAGGACUAAAUAAAAGUCAGCCUCAAGCCCUAAACAAUCAGGGAUGGACAGGUGAAAACUGAGAGGCCAGUAGGUGGCCUUUAUUUACUCUGUUAUCCACAAAGGACAUGAGCAUAUUCUCAGCUUUAACAGUUUCUUUUCAGAUGUUGUAUUUUGCCAUGUAAAAAAAAAAAAGAUGCCUUUAAAUAUUAGAGCCAAGCCCACACAGAGCAAGCUUUCUGCUGCUGCAAAGGGUAGUGGGCACACCGAUGGCAACUCAUCUCAUUCACGUUUCUUAAGGUCCCCUAAACACGGGAAAGGCAAACAGGCUGUAAGCUCAGCACCAGGGGCCCGUUCAGGGUUAGAACCAGGCUCUGUGUCAGGAGGUGUGCCUGCAACACCAUCUAAACAGACUGGGGGACAAGGGUCAGUGUCAAGGCCAGGUUCAAAAAUCAAAGCUGACCCAGAAGCAGGCAAAGGGUCAACGCGUGGUUCAGCGACAGCACCAGGGGGUAAAACCAUGUCUAUGGAGAAUAUUCAGUCUUUGAGUGCUGCAUAUGCCACAUCAGGUACUAUGUAUCCCAGUGAACGGGAGUCCUUGGAACCCUCUGGUGGGUACCCCAAAGGCACCAUGACACUAGGUAGAAGUACCAGCCGCUCCUCCUACACUGGCCGGACAACAGCUACGGGAAGCAGCCCAAACAUCACAUCUUCUGGGAUGCAUCACUUGUCAGACCCUUGUGAAGACCAGAGUUUUCUUUCUGGAGGGACUUCUAGUUUACGGCGGCAGUCUGGAAGGCACACACAGAUAAUGAAUUCGGCUCGAUGUGGAGAGGUUUCCACAUUUGAUCUCCAUUCUCAGCUGAGGGAUCUGCAGAGAGAGAACAACAACCUGCGGAGAGAACUGGAAGGAGGUAGGGAUGGAAGGACAGGCCCCAGCAUGAACAGCGUCAACUUUUGGAGCCCAGAUUUAAAGAGAGAAAAGGGCGUGAGGCGAGAGGAGGGAGUGAGGAGCUCCAUUGUGAAAGACCAGUACAGGACAAACCAAGAAGAUUUGCAGCCUGGGAAUAACAGAAGAAACAAGCAGCUUCCAUUAACAGUUCAGGAGCUUCAGGAGGAGCUGAGGGCUCAUAGAGAGAUGAACAGUCGCUCCCAGCACCACCGUCAGCAGGGGAACUCCUAUCGAGAGCUCCAUAUGGACCAGGACCUCAGAGGGGGACUCAGCCCUGGCCACAGUCCCAGACAAAGCCCCAGCAACCUGCAGAGUCCUGGACCAAAGAGCAGCCCCAGAGCCAGCCCAUCCAACACCUACAAUCCAAGGCAACAGGAAGCUGACAUCAUCAUUCACAGCCCCGGAUACGGCUGUAACACUGCAGUAGCCGCACAAAGAAUCAGCCCAGCUGACACUCUUCAGCGUGGGCUGAGGAGCAGCCCAAAUCAGCCUCUCUACAGUCCUAGCCAAGGUCCCGGGAUUGUACCCAGCUCUGGUUCUCUCCACCCUUGUAGUCCCUGUCAGGUGCCUGGGUGUGACGGCUUUUCCUCACCUCCUCCCCUGGUUCCAUCAGAGGAGAACUUCUUCCAACUGCAGUCAGAGCACGAGCGGCAGGCCAAGGAGCUAUCCCUGCUGAGGAAAACCAUGGAAGAGAUGGAGAUGAGAAUUGAUUCUCAGAAGCAGACGCUGGGUGCCCGGGACGAGAGCAUCCAGAGACUGUUAGAGAUGCUUCAAGGCCAAAGCCAAGGUCAAGGUCAGGGACACUGGGGACGGGGACAGCGGACAGGCAUAAUAACCAUGGCAGCGCAGGAGGCUGAAGCCCAACUGGAGAACGUGCAUUUGAGAGAGGACACCAAGAUCUCUUCCAUGGAGAGGAACAUCAGAGACUUAGAGGAUGAAGUCCAGAUGCUAAAGACCAGCGGCCUGCUGCACUCUGAUGAGAGGCAGGAUGAGCUCAAGCACGUGGAGGUCUACAAGAGCCAUUCUAAAUUCAUGAAGACUAAGGAGCAGGCCUUGUCACCAUGUGUGUCUUCCAUCAGACCAGCUCCCACCUUCCUCCCCACCCAACAGCCUUGGAUCACAGAACAAGCAGAAAUAGAGCAGCUGAAGCAGGAGCUGAACAGGAAGGAGUCUGAGAUGCAGGCGCUGCAGACCAAACUAGAAACACUGACCAAUCAGAACUCGGACUGCAAGCAGCACAUCGAAGUGCUAAAAGAGUCGCUCAGUGCCAAGGAGCAGCGCGCCAAUACACUCCAGACAGAGGUAGAUGCUCUGCGAGUGCGUUUGGAGGAGAAGGAGCAGUUCCUGACCAAGAAGACCAAACAGCUGCAGGACUUGACUGAUGAAAAGAGCACACUAACGGGAGAAAUCAGAGACAUGAAGGACAUGCUGGACGUCAAGGAGAGGAAGAUUAUUGUCUUGCAGAAAAAAAUUGAGAACCUGUUGGAACAGUUAAAGGACAAAGACAAACAGGUGGCUGGAUUGAGGGAAAGGGUUCAGGGCCUUCAAACCGACUCCAGCAACACAGAUACGGCUCUGGCUACACUGGAAGAAGCUUUAUCAGAAAAGGAGCGAGUGAUUGAAAACCUACGGGAACAAAAGGACCGGGAGGACAGGGUUCGGCUGGAGGAGCUGGAGCAGCUGAGAAAGGAGAACCACGAAUUAAAAGACAAACUAUCAGUCAUGCAACCCCAGAAACAGCCUCAGAACCAGCCCGGUAACCCCAGCCCAUCCCAGAACCAGAGGCCAGAUGGAGAGGUGAAAACCAAAGUAGAUGGGCCACCGGCAAUGAGCCCCACGAUCCAAACUACAGAGGAAGCAGUCAAGAUAUGUCCGGAUAUCACAGAUCGUCUGAGGGUCCUAGAGCAGGAAGUGGGCCGUUACAGAGAGGAGUCCAGGAAGUCACAAGCUGAAGUGGAGAGGCUGAUGGGAGCCUUAAAGGAUGCUGAGAUGGACAAAUCCUGCAAGGAGAAAAAAAUCUCUGAUCUUGAAAGACAUGGACAAAUCAAGUCUCCUAACAUCCAGAAGCAGACAGUGCCAGGUGAGAUGAGGAAAGACGCCCUGAUUGAUGGACAUCCCCACUCGUUAUCACAGCUUCCUCUUUUGGCUUCCCAGGAUGCCAUGCGGGACACAGCUGAGCGGAUCAUGGAGCUGGAGAGGGCACUGAGAGAAAGCAUGAACACCUCUGCACAUAGGGAGGCUCUCUGGGCACAGGAGGAGGCUGCCCGGGUUCAGGCCCAGAGACAGCUGGAGGAACUGAUGGGAGCUUUGGAGAAGACACGCCAGGAGCUGGACGCCACAAAACUGCGUCUGUCCUCCACUCAGCAGUCGCUGCAUGAAAGAGACGGACAUCUGAACAGUCUGCGGCAGGAGAGACGCAAGCAGUUGGAGGAGAUUCUGGAGAUGAAGCAGCAGGCUUUGCUUGCAGCCAUCAGUGAAAAGGAUGCCAACAUCGCCCUGCUAGAAUUAUCCUCCUCCAAACGCAAGAAAGCCCAGGAGGAAGUGAUGGCUCUGAAGAGGGAGAAGGACAGGCUCAUGCACCAGCUCAAACAGCAGACUCAAAGCAGAAUGAAGAUGAUAGCUGAUAACUACGAGGAAGAUUACAUCCAUCCCCAGCAUCACCCUCAUCAUUCGCACCACAUGCACCCAGCAAAUGUCCAUCACCGAAGCUUGCCAAGAGCACCCCCCCACGCCAACCACCGACCCCCUAUGGAGCAGGAUGAUGAAGAGGGAAUAUGGGCAUGAUGACCACCAACAUGACCACCCACAUCCGUUUCUUCACAUAGCAAGGGUCAGCAAGUGCCAGUAAUUGCCGGAUGAGCUGAGGGGUUGCCAGAUCUGAGCUGUAACUGCCAGUUGCUCGUGGAAUCAGAUACCAGGCUUCAGCUACAAGAAUACAGAUACACCGGCCCAUAUAUCCUUCACAAUCGUGACCACCAGACCUGAUUAAAUACAGAUAUAAAUGCACACUCAAGCACCCACCAUUACACUUGGAUUCUGGUGAAGUUUUCAAAUGGGUAGAAAUUAGUUAUUCUAGCAACUGGCAUGCAGUGGCCCACAGAAGACCUGGGAACACCAUGUGUGAAUGCACCUCAUCAGAACAUCUGGCAUCAGUGUGGCAAGCGGUCCACUGCCUUCAUUUCUCCAGCUUUCUUCAAUUGGAAGCUGGAUUUAUUUUACAGUACCGUGGUGCUACAGAGUCCUGGCUUCUCAUCAACCGUCCCCCAAACAACUGUUGACUAUGAGCGCGGCCGAGCUGAGCCAGAGGAACUGGCAGUAAACUCAUGCCAGCUCUAGACUCUUUUAUGGUAGCAUGAAAAGUAUUCACGUUUGCAGCUAAAUAUCAGACUUAUGUAAAUAUGACAACACGGACCUUGUAAUCCAUAAUCCACAGAGACCUUCUCAAUGUAUUGUGCCAAAGGAGAUAUCUGCUGAGAUAAAUUACUGAAAUGACAAUGCAACUGAGUGCUUUGUAAAACCACCCUUGCCCAUCUCCCAUUUCCUGCAGAGAGAUCACCACGAAAUGUUUGAGGAUUAGCUUCCUUCUUUUCCAAAAAUAGGGUCCUUAGUUAACUGGGAGGGAAACACAGCUGACCUCAAAGCAGCCAACUUAUUAUAAGAAAAGUCUGUAUACAUUUCUCCUUGUGUUCGUCUUGCCUCCCCUUCAUUGUUUAAUGAACCACUGUUAUGUUCUGUUUGAUUUUCUACAGCUGAAACUAUUUGAGUGCCACUUUUCUUCUUCUUCUUCUUCUUCUUCUUCUUCUUCUUCUUCUUCUUUUUUAAAAUAUCACAGAUUCAUGUGACUUAUUGUUCUGAUUCCAACGAGUGGUGUAUUACGUUACUGUCUAUUGAUCUGUGAAUCUGAGUGACUAAUCUGAUUAUAAUGAAGUGUCUUGCAUUAAUACUUUUUUUCACUGUACUGGAGCUUGACCUGAUGUGAUGACAAUGUACAGUUGCAGUUUAAUUUAGCAGCAUAGCGGUGUUUUCAUUUGGUUGUUACCUAAUAUGUACAGUUUUUGUAGUGUGUGUGUGCGUGCGUGUGUGUGUGGUUUUGUGCUACACUGUCUUGGUUGUGAUGACUAUGAAAGUUUGGGGGUAACAGCGGUCGCCCUUGACUUCUUCCACAGUGGUUUGCAGUGAUCAGCCUGUUUCUGUUGUUUGAAUAAAAUAUUGUUUUCACAAGAA